This 365-nucleotide ribosomal RNA is filed under the name Siemssenius fulvipennis. RNAcentral's name for it is "partial 16S ribosomal RNA". The record is from RNAcentral. Lineage: Eukaryota; Metazoa; Arthropoda; Insecta; Coleoptera; Chrysomelidae.
UUAAAUGGCCGCGGUAAUUUGACCGUGCUAAGGUAGCAUAAUCAUUAGUUUUUUAAUUGAAAGCUGGAAUGAAUGGUGGGAUGAAAAAAAAUCUGUCUCUUUUUAAUUAUUUGAAAUUUAUAUUUAAGUAAAAAAGCUUAAAUUUUUUUAAAAGACGAGAAGACCCUAUAGAGUUUAAUAAAUUGUAAAAAUUUUAUUAUUUAGUAUUUAAUAUAAAAUAUUUAUUUAUUUAUUUGAUUGGGGUGAUUAAAAAAUUUAAUAAACUUUUUUUUUAUUUUUAUAUAUUUAAUAAAUAAUUGAUCCAAAAUUUUUGAUUAUAAGAUUAAAUUACCUUAGGGAUAACAGCGUAAUUUUAUUGGAGAGUU